This is an RNA transcript of Balaenoptera ricei (Rice's whale), 4865 nucleotides long. It is a transcript of the gene named ciliary associated calcium binding coiled-coil 1, with no coding region annotated. The transcript has 9 exons. Lineage: Eukaryota; Metazoa; Chordata; Mammalia; Artiodactyla; Balaenopteridae. The record is from RefSeq and is a predicted model, not a curated record.
UCACUUCCCCAGCCCAGCGACCCCGGCCCCGCCCCGGUUGCCCCGGCGACGAGGGGCCGCCGUGCGGCGGCUGGAUCAUGGCGGCGUCUGUGGGGACGACUCCCGGGGGGACGACCCCCGCGGGGAUGACUCCGGCGGGAACCACGCCCGAGUCGGAGAAAGAUACUGAAUUCCAGGAGCGUGAAAAGAUUCUGUGUCCAGAUUUUCUUUCAGUUGCCCAGAUCACCGAAAUGCUAGCAGAGGAUGUAGAUGGAGUUCAACAGAAACUGGAAAAGUUUUUGAAUUUCAGAAAUCUUCAAACCUGUUUAAAGGAAGCCAGUCUACUAGAUUAUUAUGUAUCUGGAUUUUUGUGGGCAAGAGGAAUGGACUUUUCUAUUAUUCAAUAUUCAAAAUUUAUGACCUUACUGGAUAUGUUACUUCAUAAUCUUAGAACACUGCAUAUGCCCUUAGAAGACAGCAUAAAAUGGCUCAGAGAAGUUAUGGCUGAAAUAGGACCAUCCCAUUCACAAAAAAAUGAGGAAUGGAAUAUCUUUGAUGUAAAACAAGCCAAUGCUGUUGUUGAUUAUUUGAAAAUCAGCUUAUUUCAACACUACAAGCUAUAUGAGUUUCUGUUCUUCUCUGCCAGGGAAGAAAUUGUGAUAGGAACUGAGCAAGUGAUAGAGGUUGUGAAGCCUGCAGGUCACCCUUUCCCUGAUCCUCUAGAAGAAGGAAUCUCAUUUGAUAUUUACUCAACAUUCAUAGAGCCACCUCCAAUACUGGAUAUGGAAAUGAAGGGGUUGAAUCAAGAACAAGGCCCUGAAGAGUCCCAGCCAGAAGCUGACACUUCAGAGACUGAUCCAUUAGUUGGUUUCACCAUUGAAGAUAUAAAAUUGGUGCUGGGUCAAGUCACAGAUGACAUUUUAAUCAGCAUUCAGGAUAACCCAAAAACCAUUGCCCAUCCCUAAUACCCACUGUCCAGUUAUUGGAUCAGCCUCUUUGCCAGAAUUCCCAGCCAUCUCUGUCUCUCCACUGGAACUUGUGGAUCGAUACAUCCUCCCAUGAUCCCUUUGCAGUGAGGUGUGACUAUGGGACCAAGUUCCAGCCAGCAGAAUGUGAGUACAAGUGAAAUGUGCUGCUUGAAGGGUAUGGCUCAGGACCAGACCAUACCUCUUCCACAUUCUCUCCCCUCCCUCUCUGCUGGCCGGAUGGCAGCAAGGAGAGUGACGACUCAAAGGUGAUAGAGCAGCUGUCUGCCUGGGUUCCUGAAGGGCCACAUGACAGGUGACACUUACCAACUCAGAUCACAUGCCCAGACUGUCAUAUGAGGGGGCAAGAAACUUCCAUUUCUGAGAGUGACUUCACUCUUGGGUCUGUCUGUUGCUGCAGUUAAGCCUGCCCUAAUUAACUCAAUGAAUAUGUCUCUCUGUGUUUAUGCAUAUGUAGCAUGUGUCAUAUGGGUCAAUGUCUGUAAACUGGGAGAACAACCAGCAAAUUCAUUACCUAGGGACCUGCUUAUAGUUUUAUUGCAUAAAGUAAUUACUUCUUAGCUUAUAUAAGCCCACAGUCCCUCCUAAACUGACAUUCUAUGAAAUAAUUGACUGAGCCUCUUAAGUAUGAUGAACUACACACUCAGGAAACUCCCACGAGAGGCCACACCUUCAAUACUUCCUACUUUAAGUGAGGCUAGUAAUUUUUUAAAUGUCCAUGGAUGGCUUGGGAUUUCUCUAAUAUAAUAAGUAUAAACAAGACUCUAGAUUAUUAAUUUGCUAAUAGUUUUUCCCUUAGGCCAAGGUAAUUUCCUCAGCUGAAAUACUCCUUGAUUCACUAAAAAUUAUUUACUAGAUGCCUACUCUAGAACCUGGCUAAGGCCCCUACUAGAGCAAAUAUUGAUACGUUGGCUACUUGAUGUUAACUAUAUCCAGUUCUAAAGACUAAUAUUUAUUUCAGAAGUAUUAUUUCUGAUUUGGGUAGUUCGCAGUCCAUAGGUUAAAAUAAACAGCACAGUCAGAUCAUAGACAGAGUUGGAAGUAGAAAGAACUUAUUUUUUCCCUCCCUUAAACAUGUUCAGUCACCAGUUGUUUACUUGGUAUUGGUGACCACCUGUGUCAGUUAGGAUGCUCUCGGCUACAAGUCAAUAAAAUCCUAAACUCAAAAUGGCUCAAAAAAUUAUAAAAAUACACUACAUAAUCUUACAAAAAAGAAGUUCAGAGGUAGGGAGCCUCAGUGACAUCAUCAAGGACCCAGAUCAUUUCUGUCUGUGGUGUCCUCUUCAGCACCUUGGCUUUUGUCCUGAGUUGUCCCCUCCUAAUCCCAAGAUGACAAUUACGUCCUCACAAAUGUUUUCUUCUCUUACAUUUCGUUUUAACAAGCAGAAAAACUUUUCCCAAAGCCUGCCAGUAGAGUUUCUCCUGUGUCCGAUUGGCCAGAGUUGUGUCACAUGAUCAACCCUAAACCAGAUGCUGGUAAGGGAAGUAGAAUGGUCAGGAUUGACUUAGGUGAGUCAGGAUGCACCAGCUGGGGUGGGGGGCGUGGCCCUGAAACACUGGUCAGCCACAGCUGAACAAAACUGGGAUUCCCUUCCAGAGGGAAAAAAAUGUAGAUGGCUUUUGGGCAGGUCACUGCCAUUUCUACUCCACCAAAUGAUCUUUCCUCUGUAACUUUUUUUUGGGGGGUUUUUUAAAAAAUAUUUUUAAAAAUUUGUUUAUUUUAUUUUUAUUUAUUUUGGGCUGCGUUGGGUCUUUGUUGCUGUGCGUGGACUUUGCCUAGUUGCGGCGAAUCGGGGCUACUCUUUGCUGCGGUGCACGGGCUUCUCAUUGCGGGGGCUUCUCCCGUUGCAGAGCACAGGCUCUAGGCGCGCGGGCCCAGUAGUUGCGGCACGCGGGCUCUAGAGCGCAGGCUCCACGGCAUGUGGGAUCUUCCCAGACCGGGGCUCGAAGCCAUGUCCCCAGCAUUGGCAGGCGGAUUCUCAACCACUGCGCCACCAGGGAAGCCCCCAUAACGUUUUAUACCUUGGAAUGUCCUAGCAUUCUCAGCAUUCUUCAAUUCCAAAUUUAGGUGGAUAGAUAGGUAGGUAGAUAGAUAAAAGGUAUUUUUUUCUUCUUUUUCAAAGAUUGUGCUACUGGUGCUGAUUAUUAUCUCUAUGUGUGGGUGUGGUUUUUUAAAUGUUUGCCACAGAAGGAGCUACUGCAUUCCAACAUGUCUAUGAAAAUUAGCUAGAAAUUUUUGAAACCAAAUCUAUUCAUCUCUUAAGGUGCUAGACUCAUAUUGAAUUAUUAGUACCAUUUCCUUUCUGCUGAAAUUUUGAUGACAAGGUCAUCAUUCAUUCAACCAAGUGUGACCAUUUUAGAUUCAGUUAAGUGUCUUUAUUCAAGGUGUCCUCAUAGGCUCCUUUAUUUGUUAGAACCAUUUCAAAAUGAAUAGACAGAUGAAUCACCAGAGCACUGCAAAGCAAAACUCAAGGGCCAGGGCUAAACUGAGGAGACAAAACAAACAAAAAGAUGAUGCAAUUACAGACUUGGGAAAUUGUUCAUGAUUUAGAGGGAAAAUCUAUCAUUAAAUAUGAUAUGUGUUUUGUGGGGAAAAAUGAUAUGCAAAGAUAAAGCAUCUGAAUAAAAUGGGAGUUAUCUGUUGAUGGUAAGGUUGCAGGUGAUUUUUAAAUUUUUUCUGUAUUUUCCAUAAAUUCCCUAUUAACUUUUUUAACUAACAAGAAGUACACAUCACUUCUGAGAGGUUGAUGCUGCACCCUAGCCUUUCAGUGUCAUUGCCCUUUUGCCAGCUUCUGGACCAACCCACUGGAAGCCGGGUUACCCAUUUUCCCUGCCCUCUCUGGUAGAGAGUCUUUACAGCAGCAACCGUUAGAAGGCAUCGGGUACCGUUUGGACCCAGGGAAGCACAGAACGCUUCCCAGAAACGGCUCCUAUUCUGAAAAAGCUCCCAAUCUGAGUUGGAUACACUAGUGCAUAGCUUUGGGUGAAUAGACACAUUGCGCUGAUGGUACUGAGAUGACUUCUAUUUAUUUAUUUAUUUAAUUUUGGCUGUGUUGGGUCUUCGUUUCUGUGCGAGGGCUUUCUCCAGUUGCGGCAAGCGGGGGCCACUCUUCAUCGCGGUGCGCGGGCCUCUCACUAUCGUGGCAGAGCACAGGCUCCAGACGCGCAGGCUCAGUAGUUGUGGCUCACGGGCCUAGUUGCUCCGCGGCAUGUGGGAUCUUCCCAGACCAGGGCUCGAACCCGUGCCCCCUGCAUCGACAGGCAGAUUCUCAACCGCUGCGCCACCAAGGAAGCCCCUGAGAUGACUUCUAGAAGGUGGAUUCCACGGAAGAUUCUGUCACAAAAAACUGCAGGAUGUUGGGCGUGCUGCAUUACCCAUCUGAGCCUUGGGUUUAUUGCUUAUAAAAUGGAUGGAUUGACAAUAGGUUAAAAAAAAAAAAAAAGGCAACGUUGAGAAGCCUUUUCUUAAAAUUCCAGGGACAUCCCCGACUUUAAAAAACUACAAACUAGCCUUAGAAGAACACAGCAGGUUAAAGAAGAUCUCAAAUUGGCUUAGAUCGAAACACCAGAUGCAUUUCCAUUAAAGUCAAAAGUGAGAUAAGGGUUGGAAUUAAUGAAUUAGUCGUAUAAUUUAUCUGUUUAAUGUUUGUCUCCCUGCCCAGGCUGUACCUCGAGGAGGGCAGGAGCUGUUUCUAUCUUGUUCUGUGCUCUAUCUGCAAGAUCUAGCACAGUGCCUGGCACAGAGUAGGAACUUCAUGAAUGUUUUGUAGAAGGAAGAGAAGGCAAGUAGACAACACAGGCUGGCUGUUUUCACCACUGGUAUUUUGCUUUUCCUACCCCUGCAAUACGACAACAUAAGGAAGUUAAAAGUAUAAUUAACACAAAGCUAAAAUAAUUAUU